Molecule: ribosomal RNA, 442 nt
Filed under: uncultured bacterium
Lineage: Bacteria
Description: partial 16S ribosomal RNA
Rfam family: Bacterial small subunit ribosomal RNA
Source: RNAcentral
CCUACGGGAGGCAGCAGUGGGAAUAUUUGGCAAUGGGCGCAAGCCUGACCCAGCAACGCCGCGUGAAGGAAGAAGGCUUUCGUGUUGUAAACUUCUUUUCUCCGGGACGACGAAGGUGACGGUACCUGAGGCAUCAGCCACGGCUAACUACGGGCCAGCAGCCGCGGGCAUACGUAGGUGGCAAGCGUUAUUCGGAUUUACUGGGUGUAAAGGGCGUGUAGGCGGGAAUGCAAGUCAGAUGUGAAAACCACGGGCUCAACCUGUGGCCUGCAUUUGAAACUGUAGUUCUUGAGUACUGGAGAGGCAGACGGAAUGCCUAGUGUAGCGGUGAAAUGCGUAGAUAUUAGGAGGAACACCAGUGGCGAAGGCGGUCUGCUGGACAGCAACUGACGCUGAGGCGCGAAAGCGUGGGGAGCAAACAGGAUUAGAUACCCGGGUAGUC